Molecule: long non-coding RNA, 3393 nt
Organism: Gallus gallus (chicken)
Lineage: Eukaryota; Metazoa; Chordata; Aves; Galliformes; Phasianidae
Exons: 2
Source: RefSeq, a predicted model, not a curated record
AGGGUUACCAAGGAACAAAGGCUGUAUUCUGCUUUGUAAUUAUGUCCUAAAGCUCUCCAUCAAGGUACUCAGCACCAGCUUCCUUGUGCAUGGCAGCAGAGAUCCAUCUGCCCCACAAUAGCCUUUCUGGCAUCCAUCCAGCUGAGAGUACAUUAAAUGGCCCAUUGAGCACUCAACUACUACAGUAACUAAUGGACCCAAGGAGGUGGCAGUUCAUAAUAUCCACACUUUUUUCAGUGGAACAAGCUCAGCAUUAAUUUCCCUGUCAAUAUGAGUGGCCAGAAUCCCUGGAUCUCAAGGACUCACAGCUGGCUGAGAUUUAACCUGAACAAAUCUCUAUGAACAGCAGCCAUCCAGCUUUAGUAUCACAUCAGUGGGGAUGCAUUGUAAAGCUCAGCUGCACCUCCUAAUAAACAAGGAGUUGGAACACCCAAUAUGUCCCAUGUCCACGACCAACAGCUUCCAGACCAACAGCUUCCAGCCAGAAUUGCUUGGUGAUGUGAAUCUAAGAGCAAGUAGAUGUUGUUAAGAAAAGGAAAACAAUGAAAUAUUUAAGCAGAUACAGUCAUUAUGAGACUUACCAAAAUAAAGUCAGCAUAGAAAAAGGUCUGAAAACUUCAACAUAAAAGGUCAAGACUGGGGAGAGAAGAGGAACAGUGCAGACCGCCCACAGCAGUUUGAAGUCCGUUUUUGCUAAAUGCUCUACUCUUUUAAAGAGGAGAAAAUAGCCUAGUGCAGAUGUGGGCAGCAGGAAAUGCUUCUGACUUCAUUUGUAAGCAAUUCCAGUUCUACAGCAAAAAAAAAAACUGUAGUCGGGUUUCAGGACAAACAGCCCUCAAACUUGCUCAAGACUUAAAGCUGAGCAGGGCUUUGAGGUUAAAAAGCUAAGACUGUUUAUGUAGUCACCAAGAGAAUUUCCUGAGAAUUUAGUGCAAGGGUAAACUUAAGCACUAAGGAGUCAAGCAUCACUGCCCUGCUAUAUGGGAACAGUUUCAGACUUUGUUUUCUGAAAGCAUCAAGGAAGCAAGCACAUUGUCCACAAAAAAGGUCACUUGGUGCCAUUCACUUCUCGGAAUCUAUCAUGGUUGGCCAGCAGGAAAGAUACUUCCAAGAAAAAAAACAGAAACAACUUGCAGGUGAGAAAUAGGCAUUCUCAGGCUGCUCACUGACAGCAACUACUUCAGCAGCAGCAUAGGAGUGCCUAAGCUCCAUAUCCAUGGGCUUGCAUAGCCACAUUGAUAGUGCAGCAUUUAAAACCAUUUUUUUUUUGGACACAGAAUUACCUGCUACAAACUAAUUGAAAAGCUCCAAGGAAAAAUACUGUGGCUAAAGGAAAAAAAAAAACCAGGAAGACUGCAGGAAAACAUAAUUACAGCAAUUAAUUUAUAACAGACAAGAAACAAUGGUUAGGCAAUGAAAGUUACAAUAUGCAAGGGACAGAUUGCUGAAGACAGAGCCAGCUGAAGUCUGUUUGUCACAGCCAUAAAAUUUGCUGCCAAUUUAAUUCCAGUUCAAUAGGUAUUUCAACUUUUUAAGGCACUGCUUUAAGCUACAGUAGAUUGAAGUUCUAAUUAUGAUGACAACUAAGCCAACAAAAAUUCAGAGUUCCUUUUAAAGAGACCCACAAUCCCUCUGUGCUGCCAAAACUGCAUAUGAACUCUGAAUCUCGUGUUGCUACAUGAAAUUUCAGAAAAUGAGAGAGUUUACCCAUUCAGACAAAACUCUGAUAAUCCUCUUUUGCCACAGGAAACAAGGCAGCAACAAUUUACUUGCCCAUCAAAAAGUGACCCCAAGAGCUCAGUUUUGCAACAUUACAUUACAGUGCUGGCAUGUGCUUCUGCAAUGUGCAUCCCCGUCUAAGAAGAGGAACUUACUUGUAUAACAAUGAGCCCUGUGUCUGAUGGAGAGGUGUUUUGGGGUGUGAAGAGAAAGAAAUUCUUUUCCAGGCAUACUACAAAUAGGAGCUACAGGAGGAAGGUGAGGCCCAAUAAGUAAAGAACUUGAGAGAAAGCUGAGAGUUGAGCUCACAUUAGGAGGGAAGCAGAAGGCAGGAGUAGAGAUUAGGAACCAAGAACAGGAAACAGAAGCUGGAAAAGACAAAUAGGAACUUUAGGUGAAUAAACAGCAGCUAGGUUUCUAUCUGAGCUGUGCAGCAUCAAAAGCAGUAACAAGGUAGAGGACUAAAAUGGUUAUAAUAAUAGGAAGAGAUUGCAGAGGACCAAAAUACAUAGCUUGCAUGUACCUCAAAUGCUUUCACAGACAGAUUACAGAAACAUUACAGGCAGCUCUAAUUUCUUAUGCUAGCAUUUAUACCUCAGAACACCAAGAAGCCACAUCUCACUGGUCUUGCUUAGAUCAGUGCUGUUCCUCUCCGAGAUGGGGAAAACAACAAAAGCACAGUUGUUUCCUCAAGAGUGAGCCAGGAAGCCUGUGGCAGCCCAGGGAAUAGGCAUCCUAACUCCAGACAGCACAUGUGACAAGUGCAGCGUGAUCAAAACGUUCAGAACUGCUGUCUGCAUGGCUAAUAAGAUUAGCAAAUACAUUCCUAUCCAAGAAGUGCUCCAUCUGCUUUAAAGCCCCUGCUAAAGAAAAUCUAACAUCGAAGAUUUGUUAUUGAGAAUGCCACACUUCAUCCUCUGUGGAGUCGCUUACCAUUCACCCUUGAUAUUAAAUUUCUACCAACUGCUGUUGCUUUAGGAACAGCUGGAAGAGGAGCGUGGAGAGGCAGGUCCUGGCCUACCAAAGGCUCUCAGGUUCAGGACCUCAGUGCCACCAUCUAGGAGCUCUGACUUUACAGGAGGCAUAGACAAACCCUGGCAUCCCUGCUCAAAUCCCUUUUUCCCCACACUGAAGAGAAACAGACUGCCUCUGCACAGGGCAAACCAUUGCAACAGCAGCAGCACAGCUCCCAGUAUGCAGAUCAAGCUUCAUCUUUGAAAAACGCAAGUUUUGAGAUGCUUCUCCAUUCAGCACUGAAGUUCCCUCACAGUCAGAUCAGAGAUUAAUACAGUUACUUUGCUGACAGAUUGGUUGAAUGAAGGCUUUUCACUAUUAAAUAGAGAAGAAAGUUGUUUCUAACUGUUGCCAGUGUUUGAGAAUAAAUAGCUCCUUUACCUUCACCGUUUUUGGCAGAGAUGCAUCUGUCUGGCCAAGUGAUUUGGAGCCAAAGUUUUGCUGUUUUGUGCUGACAGGUUUCUGAACUUCUGUCUCGCUCUCCAGGUUUUGUCCAACUAAGGGAGGAGAAGAGAGGAAGAAAAGAUCAUUAGAAUGACUUGAAAACCGUGGAAAGUUUAUGCUGAUAAGGCCAAAUAGCAAUCCUACCAGCUAGGGGCUAAAACAUUUGUUUGCUAUUAAACUUUUUGAUCUACAUAAAGCAAAUACAUUUAAACAUGA